CGGGGCGUGGCGCAGUCUGGCAGCGCGGCUGGUUUGGGACCAGUAGGUCGCAGGUUCGAAUCCUGUCGCCCCGA
This 74-nucleotide transfer RNA is filed under the name Planctomycetota bacterium. RNAcentral's name for it is "tRNA-Pro". It matches the Rfam family "tRNA". Rfam says of the family: Transfer RNA (tRNA) molecules are approximately 80 nucleotides in length. Their secondary structure includes four short double-helical elements and three loops (D, anti-codon, and T loops). Further hydrogen bonds mediate the characteristic L-shaped molecular structure. tRNAs have two regions of fundamental functional importance: the anti-codon, which is responsible for specific mRNA codon recognition, and the 3' end, to which the tRNAs corresponding amino acid is attached (by aminoacyl-tRNA synthetases). tRNAs cope with the degeneracy of the genetic code in two manners: having more than one tRNA (with a specific anti-codon) for a particular amino acid; and 'wobble' base-pairing, i.e. permitting non-standard base-pairing at the 3rd anti-codon position. The record is from RNAcentral. Lineage: Bacteria; Pseudomonadati; Planctomycetota. RNAcentral also lists the same sequence under 1 other name.